RNAcentral lists this ribosomal RNA (119 nucleotides) under Takifugu rubripes (torafugu). Lineage: Eukaryota; Metazoa; Chordata; Actinopteri; Tetraodontiformes; Tetraodontidae. The record is from RNAcentral.
GCUUACGGCCAUACCACCCUGAGAACGCCCGAUCUCGUCUGAUCUCGGAAGCUAAGCAGGGUCGGGCCUGGUUAGUACUUGGAUGGGAGACCGCCUGGGAAUACCAGGUGCUGUAAGCA